GCCUGGGUGGCUCAGUUGGUUGAGUGUCCGACUUCGGCUCAGGUCGUGAUCUCACAGUUCGUGGGUUUGAGCCCCGCAUCAGGCU
Molecule: transfer RNA, 85 nt
Filed under: Felis catus (domestic cat)
Lineage: Eukaryota; Metazoa; Chordata; Mammalia; Carnivora; Felidae
Rfam family: tRNA
About the family: Transfer RNA (tRNA) molecules are approximately 80 nucleotides in length. Their secondary structure includes four short double-helical elements and three loops (D, anti-codon, and T loops).
Source: Rfam by way of RNAcentral